Molecule: transfer RNA, 69 nt
Filed under: Anthenea aspera
Lineage: Eukaryota; Metazoa; Echinodermata; Asteroidea; Valvatida; Oreasteridae
Description: tRNA-Trp
Source: RNAcentral
AGGGAUUUAAGUUAAUAAAACUAAUAGCCUUCAAAGCUUUAAAUAGAAAUGAAAGUUUUUUAAUCCCUG